This 329-nucleotide long non-coding RNA is filed under the name Nicotiana benthamiana. RNAcentral describes it as "long non-coding RNA (NBEN_LNC009210)". The record is from RNAcentral. Lineage: Eukaryota; Viridiplantae; Streptophyta; Magnoliopsida; Solanales; Solanaceae.
AAACAUAUGUUUCCUAUAAAUAAGGUUGUAACGGCCAUGCAUGAAUGUUUGUUCUCAAUUUUCAUGGUAGCCUAAAAGAGAUAUUUGCGUUUGACCAUUCCAAAACCCAUACUGAAUCCAUCCUCCCUCCAUUACAACCCGCCGUCAGCCUAUCACAACCCUCCUCCUCCGUUUAUGGCCAACAUCAUCAUUUCCCUAAACCCCCCUUAGAAUCAAAAAUCAAGAACUCAGACAUUCAAUUACGAAACAAGCAAAAGAAGAAAAGAACUUUUCAUGUUUUUUCAUUUCUUGUUUUCUUCCCAUUUUUUAGUAUAAAGUUUAACGCAAUC